CCAUGCGUCAGGGAAGUGAGGUGAAAAUCCUCCACAGUGCCGCUACGGUCAUAGUCCGAGCACUGACGCAAGG
Molecule: non-coding RNA, 73 nt
Filed under: Candidatus Uhriibacteriota
Lineage: Bacteria
Source: RNAcentral